This 790-nucleotide ribosomal RNA is filed under the name uncultured Staphylococcus sp. Its description in RNAcentral is "bacterial SSU rRNA". It matches the Rfam family "Bacterial small subunit ribosomal RNA", at positions 71 to 845 of the family's 1533-position model. Lineage: Bacteria; Bacillati; Bacillota; Bacilli; Caryophanales; Staphylococcaceae. The record is from RNAcentral.
ACGAGAAGCUUGCUUCUCUGAUGUUAGCGGCGGACGGGUGAGUAACACGUGGAUAACCUACCUAUAAGACUGGGAUAACUUCGGGAAACCGGAGCUAAUACCGGAUAAUAUUUUAAACCGCAUGGUUCAAAAGUGAAAGACGGUCUUGCUGUCACUUAUAGAUGGAUCCGCGCUGCAUUAGCUAGUUGGUAAGGUAACGGCUUACCAAGGCAACGAUGCAUAGCCGACCUGAGAGGGUGAUCGGCCACACUGGAACUGAGACACGGUCCAGACUCCUACGGGAGGCAGCAGUAGGGAAUCUUCCGCAAUGGGCGAAAGCCUGACGGAGCAACGCCGCGUGAGUGAUGAAGGUCUUCGGAUCGUAAAACUCUGUUAUUAGGGAAGAACAUAUGUGUAAGUAACUGUGCACAUCUUGACGGUACCUAAUCAGAAAGCCACGGCUAACUACGUGCCAGCAGCCGCGGUAAUACGUAGGUGGCAAGCGUUAUCCGGAAUUAUUGGGCGUAAAGCGCGCGUAGGCGGUUUUUUAAGUCUGAUGUGAAAGCCCACGGCUCAACCGUGGAGGGUCAUUGGAAACUGGAAAACUUGAGUGCAGAAGAGGAAAGUGGAAUUCCAUGUGUAGCGGUGAAAUGCGCAGAGAUAUGGAGGAACACCAGUGGCGAAGGCGACUUUCUGGUCUGUAACUGACGCUGAUGUGCGAAAGCGUGGGGAUCAAACAGGAUUAGAUACCCUGGUAGUCCACGCCGUAAACGAUGAGUGCUAAGUGUUAGGGGGUUUCCGCCCCUUAGUG